This 73-nucleotide transfer RNA is filed under the name Ixodes scapularis (black-legged tick). It matches the Rfam family "tRNA". From Rfam's summary of the family: Transfer RNA (tRNA) molecules are approximately 80 nucleotides in length. Their secondary structure includes four short double-helical elements and three loops (D, anti-codon, and T loops). The record is from Rfam by way of RNAcentral. Lineage: Eukaryota; Metazoa; Arthropoda; Arachnida; Ixodida; Ixodidae.
UCCUGGUUAGCUCAGUUGGUAGAGCGCUCCACUGGAAACGAAGAGGUCCCUGGUUCGUCACCAAGACCAGGCG